GAUGAACGCUGGCGGCGUGCCUAACACAUGCAAGUCGAGCGAUUCUCUUCGGAGAAGAGCGGCGGACGGGUGAGUAACGCGUGGGUAACCUGCCCUGUACACACGGAUAACAUACCGCAAGGUAUGCUAAUACGAGAUAAUAUGCUUUUAUCGCAUGGUAGAAGUAUCAAAGCUCCGGCGGUACAGGAUGGACCCGCGUCUGAUUAGCUAGCUGGUAAGGUAACGGCUUACCAAGGCGACGAUCAGUAGCCGACCUGAGAGGGUGAUCGGCCACAUUGGAACUGAGACACGGUCCAAACUCCUACGGGAGGCAGCAGUGGGGAAUAUUGCACAAUGGGCGAAAGCCUGAUGCAGCAACGCCGCGUGAGCGAUGAAGGCCUUCGGGUCGUAAAGCUCUGUCCUCAAGGAAGAUAAUGACGGUACUUGAGGAGGAAGCCCCGGUUAACUACGUGCCAGCCGCCGCGGUAA
This 468-nucleotide ribosomal RNA is filed under the name uncultured bacterium. Its description in RNAcentral is "partial 16S ribosomal RNA". It matches the Rfam family "Bacterial small subunit ribosomal RNA", at positions 28 to 523 of the family's 1533-position model. The record is from RNAcentral.